GUUUGAUCCUGGCUCAGAUUGAACGCUGGCGGCAUGCUUUACACAUGCAAGUCGAACGGCAGCGGGGGCUUCGGCCUGCCGGCGAGUGGCGAACGGGUGAGUAAUGCAUCGGAACGUGCCCAUGUCGUGGGGGAUAACGUAGCGAAAGCUACGCUAAUACCGCAUACGCCCUGAGGGGGAAAGCGGGGGAUUCUUCGGAACCUCGCGCGAUUGGAGCGGCCGAUGUCGGAUUAGCUAGUAGGUGAGGUAAAGGCUCACCUAGGCGACGAUCCGUAGCGGGUCUGAGAGGAUGAUCCGCCACACUGGGACUGAGACACGGCCCAGACUCCUACGGGAGGCAGCAGUGGGGAAUUUUGGACAAUGGGCGCAAGCCUGAUCCAGCCAUGCCGCGUGAGUGAAGAAGGCCUCGG
Molecule: ribosomal RNA, 410 nt
Filed under: uncultured bacterium
Lineage: Bacteria
Description: bacterial SSU rRNA
Rfam family: Bacterial small subunit ribosomal RNA
Source: RNAcentral